RNAcentral lists this long non-coding RNA (217 nucleotides) under Ictidomys tridecemlineatus (thirteen-lined ground squirrel). RNAcentral's name for it is "lncRNA (ENSSTOG00000033083.1)". Lineage: Eukaryota; Metazoa; Chordata; Mammalia; Rodentia; Sciuridae. The record is from RNAcentral.
CAGGGGAACCCAUUCCUUGGACCACUCAGGAUUCGAGCUAUGAGAUAGAAUCCAAGACCAAGAGACAAGAGGAGUCUAAGUCAGAGACACAUCUGAUUUUAUGGGACAGGACUCAUAAAAUCUUGGUCCCUGAGAAGAAGCACUUCAUGGAGAAGAGUUGGCUCAAGAUGUACCAACAAAGAUUAUGCUUCCCACCUUUUCCAGAGCCAUAGCAGGG